UUACGUGUGUUUCUGUUUAAAGACACCUUACUAAGAUAUAGUGUCGAUUCAUUAACAUGGAACCCAUGGCCAACAGCGCUGUGGCUCACGCCUGAAGGAAGCUCAUCGAACACAUGUGUUUUCUCCAUGAGGCAUGUCAUGGCCUUCUCACACUUACAAACACUGGAUAGCACUUCAGCACUAGGCCUGGGGGCCAUUUUAAACAGCGAAAUCCCAAAAAAAAGCACAAAAAUACAAAAAACGUGGCACUAAAUAGACCGCCAAAAGGACACUUAUUUACAGCACGAGAGUGGAAACAAGAAGCUGGAGCAUCAGCUUCUGACUUUGGCUGGGACCAUGUCCUCUGAUGACUCAAAAUUUUUACCUCUCUGCACAUGCACAUGUCCCUGAAUGGCCACAAAAAGGCCCCAAGUAUUGAUUUCGGGGUUACAAAUAAAUUUUAGCUAGAGAAGAAUUCGCAAAUAUGGAAUUCAUGCAUAAUGAGGAUCAAUUGUUUGUACAUAUAUAUAUAUAUAUAUACGUAAAUAUUAUUUUUGAACCAUUUGGGAGUAUGUUGGAAACAUCAUGUCUCUGUACCCCCGAAUACUUCAACGUGUGUUUUCAAAAUGGUCAUUCUCUUACAUGAGCACCGUGCAGUUCUCGAAUUCAAGAAACUUACCAGUGAUACAAUACUAUUUUGUAAUAGCUGUUUUUUCCCUGGUCCAGCAGCCAACUCAGGAUCACACAUUGCAUUUAGUUGUCAUGGCUUGUAGUUUCUCAGUCUUUCUUUGUCUUUGAUGAUCUCACUUUGUAGAAUGUCCUUCAAUUUGGGUUUUCUGAUGUUUCCUCAUGAUUAGAUUCAAGUUAUGCAUUUUUGGCAAGAAUAUCCAGAAGCGAUGUGCUUCCAGGUGCAUCAUAUCAAGAAGCCCGUGACGCUGUUUGUCCCAACAUUGGGGGUGUUAGGUUUGAUGGCUUAGUUAAAGUGGUGUCUGCCACGUUUGACAUGCCAAGUUCGGGAGGCUGGGAAGUCCAAGGUCAAGGUGCAAAAAGAUUCUGUAGGUCCUGGUUCAGAGAAGGCCGUCUUCUCGCUGUGUCCUCAGCUGGUGGAAGGGGCCGUGUAAGCUGGCAGCCCUCAUGCGACGUUCCGGAGCCGGUGGCACAAGGGGGUCUACAGAGAGAAGAGAGCGGCUCUGCAGGGAAUGAGAAGGAGGAGAGUGGGGGACUCGGACUGAGCGUGGAGAACAGCCACUUGCAUUGCGGUCUCUCCAGUUUCCCAUUUCAAACUCUGGGUCAGCGUGGCAGUCCUUCCUGCCUGUGGGUUCCAUAUGACAUCUGUAAAAUGGGAUGGGAUGGUACCCACCUCCAAGGGUGACUGAAGAUGAGGAACAGCCCGUGUGGGUGCUCAAUAAAUGCUGGCUCUUACUCAGCCACCAUUGUUUUACUUUUAAGUUCUUC
This 1434-nucleotide long non-coding RNA is filed under the name Equus asinus (donkey). RNAcentral's name for it is "lncRNA (ENSEASG00005024946.1)". The record is from RNAcentral. Lineage: Eukaryota; Metazoa; Chordata; Mammalia; Perissodactyla; Equidae.